Molecule: transfer RNA, 87 nt
Filed under: Caldifarciminota bacterium JGI_Cruoil_03_51_56
Lineage: Bacteria; Pseudomonadati; Caldifarciminota
Description: tRNA-Ser
Rfam family: tRNA
About the family: Transfer RNA (tRNA) molecules are approximately 80 nucleotides in length. Their secondary structure includes four short double-helical elements and three loops (D, anti-codon, and T loops).
Source: RNAcentral
GGAGAGAUGGCCGAGUGGACGAUGGCGCAUGACUCGAAAUCAUGUAUACCCGUGAGGGUAUCGGGGGUUCAAAUCCCUCUCUCUCCG